RNAcentral lists this ribosomal RNA (371 nucleotides) under Diutina rugosa. RNAcentral describes it as "eukaryotic LSU rRNA". It matches the Rfam family "Eukaryotic large subunit ribosomal RNA", at positions 175 to 499 of the family's 3401-position model. The record is from RNAcentral. Lineage: Eukaryota; Fungi; Ascomycota; Pichiomycetes; Serinales; Debaryomycetaceae.
CGCUGUCUACGUUCCUUGGAACAGGACGCCGCAGAGGGUGAGAGCCCCGUGCGAUGGCGCCUCCAACCGCGUAAAACUCCGCCGACGAGUCGAGUUGUUUGGGAAUGCAGCUCCAAGUGGGUGGUAAAUUCCAUCUAAAGCUAAAUACUGGCGAGAGACCGAUAGCGAACAAGUACAGUGAUGGAAAGAUGAAAAGCACUUUGAAAAGAGAGUGAAACAGCACGUGAAAUUGUUGAAAGGGAAGGGUAUGCGAUUAGCGGCCAGCAGGAGGUGCCUUCUCGUGAAAAGGCCGUGCACCGUCUUCGGACACCGUGCGCGGAGAUGGCGAGGGGGCGCCUGAGGUCUGCGACUCGAGGUUGCUGGCGUAAUGA